This 76-nucleotide transfer RNA is filed under the name Minisyncoccota bacterium. RNAcentral's name for it is "tRNA-Glu". It matches the Rfam family "tRNA". Rfam says of the family: Transfer RNA (tRNA) molecules are approximately 80 nucleotides in length. Their secondary structure includes four short double-helical elements and three loops (D, anti-codon, and T loops). The record is from RNAcentral. Lineage: Bacteria; Bacillati; Minisyncoccota.
GGCCUUGUCAUCUAGUGGAUUAGGAUACAUGAUUCUCAUUCAUGUCACACGGGUUCGAAUCCCGUCAAGGCCACCA